CCCUUAGAUGUUCUGGGCGGCCCGCGCACUACAUUGGCACUCUCAAUAAGUUCCUAGAUCUAAAACUUUGGGGUAUUCUAUUAAGUGGUGUCGUGACUGGGAUUAACCCUUGCAAUUAUUGGUUACGAACGAGGAAUUCCUUGUAAUCGCGGUUUAUCAGCCCGCGUUGAAUGCGUCCCUGCCCUUUGUACACACCGCCCGUCGCUCCUACCGAUUGAGUGGUCCGGUGAGGCUUUGGGAUCUGAGCGGAAAGAGCGUUUCGCUGUUUCUGCUCGGAAAACUCAGUCGAACCUUAUCAUUUAGAGGAAGGAGAAGUCGUAACA
This 323-nucleotide ribosomal RNA is filed under the name uncultured eukaryote. RNAcentral describes it as "partial 18S ribosomal RNA". It matches the Rfam family "Eukaryotic small subunit ribosomal RNA", at positions 1470 to 1796 of the family's 1831-position model. The record is from RNAcentral.